UGAAUACGAGACGCUAAGGCGUCGAAGUAGUGUAUGUCAUACUUCCAAGAAAAGCUUGCACUGUCAUAGAUAAAAAACGCCUGUACCAUAACCGACACAGGUGGGUAGGUAGAGUAUACUAAGGGGCGCGAGAUAACUCUCUCUAAGGAACUCGGCAAAAUAACUCCGUAACUUCGGGAGAAGGAGUGCCUUAUUCGUAAGGUUGCAAUAACAAGAUCCAAGCAACUGUUUAUCAAAAACACAGGUCUCCGCUAAGUCGUAAGACGAUGUAUGGGGGCUGACGCCUGCCCAGUGCCAGAAGGUUAAAGAAGUUGGUUAGCAAUUGCGAAGCUGAUAACUGAAGCCCUGGUGAACGGCGGCCGUAACUAUAACGGUCCUAAGGUAGCGAAAUUCCUUGUCGGGUAAGUUCCGACCCGCACGAAAGGCGUAAUGAUUUGGAUACUGUCUCGGAGAGGGGCUCGGUGAAAUAGACUUGUCUGUGAAGAUGCGGACUACCUGCACCAGGACAGAAAGACCCUAUGAAGCUUUACUGUAACUUGAAAUUGAAAUUGGACUUUAUUCGCGCAGUAUAGGUGGGAGGCGUUGAUUAUAAUCUUGUGGGAUUAUUGGAGCCAUCAGUGAGAUACCACUCUUGUAAUGUUAGAUUUCUAACUUUGAAUCAUUAUCUGGUCAAAGAACAGUUUCAGGCGGGCAGUUUGACUGGGGCGGUCGCCUCCUAAACGGUAACGGAGGCGUACAAAGGUUUCCUCUGAACGGUUAGAAAUCGUAUCUAGAGUGUAAAGGCAUAAGGAAGCUUGACUGUGAGACCUACAAGUCGAGCAGGGACGAAAGUCGGUCUUAGUGAUCUGACGGUACUGAGUGGAAAGGCCGUCACUCAACGGAUAAAAGUUACUCUAGGAUAACAGGCUGAUCUCCCCCAAGAGUUCACAUCGACGGGGAGGUUUGGCACCUUGAUGUCGGCUCAUCGCAUCCUGGGGCGGUAGUACGUCCCAAGGGUUGGGCUGUUCGCCCAUGAAAGCGGUACGCGAGCUGGGUUCAGAACGUCGUGAGACAGUUCGGUCCAUAUCCGGUGUAGGCGUUAGAAUAUUGAGAGGAGCCUUCUUUAGUACGAGAGGACCGAGAAGGACAUACCUCUGGUGUACCAGUUAUCGUGCCAACGGUAAACGCUGGGUAGCUAUGUAUGGAGUGGAUAACCGCUGAAAGCAUCUAAGUGGGAAGCCCACCUCAAGAUAGGUAUUCUCAUCAU
This 1246-nucleotide ribosomal RNA is filed under the name metagenome. RNAcentral describes it as "bacterial LSU rRNA". It matches the Rfam family "Bacterial large subunit ribosomal RNA", at positions 1564 to 2820 of the family's 2925-position model. The record is from RNAcentral.